UACGGAAGGCAGCAGUGGGGAAUAUUGCACAAUGGGCGCAAGCCUGAUGCAGCCAUGCCGCGUGUAUGAAGAAGGCCUUCGGGUUGUAAAGUACUUUCAGUCGUGAGGAAGGUGUUAAGGUUAAUAACCUUAGCAAUUGACGUUAGCGACAGAAGAAGCACCGGCUAACUCCGUGCCAGCAGCCGCGGUAAUACGGAGGGUGCGAGCGUUAAUCGGAAUUACUGGGCGUAAAGGGCACGCAGGCGGUUAAUUAAGUUGGAUGUGAAAUCCCCGGGCUUAACCUGGGAAUGGCAUUCAAGACUGGUUAGCUAGAGUCUUGUAGAGGGGGUAGAAUUCCAUGUGUAGCGGUGAAAUGCGUAGAGAUGUGGAGGAAUACCGGUGGCGAAGGCGGCCCCUGGGACAAAGACUGACGCUCAUGUGCGAAAGCGUGGGGAGCAAAACAGGGAUUAGAUACC
RNAcentral lists this ribosomal RNA (455 nucleotides) under uncultured bacterium. RNAcentral describes it as "bacterial SSU rRNA". It matches the Rfam family "Bacterial small subunit ribosomal RNA", at positions 340 to 786 of the family's 1533-position model. The record is from RNAcentral.